RNAcentral lists this long non-coding RNA (492 nucleotides) under Marmota monax (woodchuck). Lineage: Eukaryota; Metazoa; Chordata; Mammalia; Rodentia; Sciuridae. The record is from RNAcentral.
GAAUUCUAAACUCUAAUUGUCCUAAAAAUAUGCAGAGUACACUAUGUCGUUUUAAUGGAAUAUUUGUUUUCUUAAAAAAAAAAAAAAAAAGAACUUCUAAGGAGAACCUAAGACCCAAGGGGUUUAGUCUGUGUGGAUUUACUCAUGCAUGUGAAAAACUGUGAAGGGAAUUCGGACCGUGCACCUAAGACAUUAGAAACAUAUUUUAAAAGCACUUAAAAGUCCAGGGGGGAGGUCACUGGCCCGUCCGGCUUGCUCCAUGCUGUUCUAAUUACACCUUUGUACGUCAGUUUCAGGCAGGGUUGCUGCAGAGACAAGGAUUUCUUUCGUGGACAGAAUCAUGGGAUCAAAACUAUCGGGAAGGGCUGAAGUUGUGCCAGGGAAUGAACGCUCUUGGCUCACAGUCCUGGUUGGAAAGUGGACCCCGUGGUGCAUUCAGAGCUGUGAUUGGAUGGUUUGUGGUCAGACGUGCACUUCCAGGGCUCAGCCAAG